ACCACAGCUGCCACAUCGGCACUCCAGGCUGGGUCACAGGCCUGCUCGAUGCGCUCCAGAACCACACUGUCCCACUGUUUCUUGGCCAGGGUGAACUGGCGGUUGGGCUCAAGCUCGAUAGUGUGCCUGAGGUCGCGUAGCGCCAAACCCGCCGAGAGACACCACCUUCCCAGUGGUUCCAGCCGCCAGCACAGACAAAGUGGCUGAUGCAAUGAGGGCGCAUGUGCAGCCCGCAGUCCACCUCCCGGCGCACUUUUUACGACACCAAAGGGAGGCGUGGCCUCAGCUUGCCGGGGCGCAGGCGCUCUAAGCGAGUUGCAGCUCCAGACAAAUAAACCAACUAAGGGAAGCGCGAAAUCAGGCAGCAAGUCUUUGUUUUAAUGCUGAACUUGGACUUCAUGAGUUUUCUCUUCCAUUCCUGUUUAUGAAGAAUCUGGGGAAUAUGUAGAGUAAUCAGAGGAAGCUGCUGGUGCCAGUGGAGCAAUUAUCUCUUGAAUCAAAUAGAAACUUGGCUCUGGAAGAGAACUAAGAAGAGGGACAAUGUUCAUAUCUUUGUAUCCAUAAGGAGUGUCAUUUAGAAGGAGUGUGUUUGAAAUCUUAUGAUGCAGGUUUUAAAAAUACAAAGAAAUGUGAUAGAAAAUUGCCAUAUAGAUACACUAUAUGUUACUGAUUGUAAUUUUCAGGUGCACAUUUUCUCACAUUUCAACAUCUCUGAAACUAGGAGGCACCUGACAAUACAGCAGUUAUAAUUGGGUUGGCAGUGCUUUUCUUGGUAAUACAUAGAAUAAUGGUGCAUCAUUUAAUUGAUGGUGUCUUCUAUUCAAUUAGAUGUAAAUAUGUGUAGAGAUAUAUAUUCCAGGUAGGGAUAUAAUUAAAAGAGAUAAUCUGAUCCUUUAAGUAUUUUAUGAGUUUGUCUAUGGCCUAUUCUUCUGUGAUUCAUUCAAUAACAAAUUUUCAAGAGCUUAUUAUUUUUAGAUGCUAAGGAUAAUAAACAGACAAAGACUCUAUCCUAUUAGAGCAUACAGCAACCUGAGAACACAAUUAAAUAUUAAUUAUAAUAUCAUGUGCUAUAUGAUAGUAGCAGAGGUGUUAGGGGCUUACAUGUCUUUGGGGGAGGGUGUCCAAUUUAUUCCACUGGGUUUCUUGGAAAUGACAUUUAUGUGGGGACUGAUUGGUAGUAGUGUAACUGUUAUGCAAAGGCCCAGAGAUUUGAGAGGAACUGGGACAACAGAGUAGCUGAAAGAAGCUCAAUGAUAUUGAAGACAGGAAUAUAUUCAGCUCAUUUACAUCUCUUGAUAUUCUACUGUACUCUUGCUUUGAGAGAGAGUACAAUUCUUCAGUCACAGACCACUCUGAAUUGGCAAUGUAUUUUGACUUUAGUAUUGUGGGAACAAUUCCAAAUCUUUCAUCUCAAUUUCUUAAAUGUGAAUUAAAAUACACUAUUUUGUGUUUCAUAACAACAGAAAAGCAUUGUAGGUAAAGAAUAGCAAUUUUAUCCCUAAUUUUCUAAAUAUAUUUUAAACAUGAGUUACUUUUUAAAUGAAAUAUUUAGAGACAUAUGAAAAUUCAGCAAGUUCUAAAUCUAAUGGUAAAUUUGUUUGGUUGGAGGUGGAGGAAUAAAGAAAGAGGAGCAUUUGUCUAAGGAAGUAAGAUCAUCAGUUAUAAUCUGUGGCCCAAGAGCUUAAGCAUCAAAAUAGCAUUAUGACAGCAGGGAAGAAAACCAGUUGAGCAUAUAUAUUUCAUUGGUAUUAUCAUUGCCUACUUACUAAAUAAAACAAAUCCUAUGAGUUUAUUGCUGCCUCUGCAGACAUCAUAAUGACUAAAGAGUUUCACCAUCUUGGGUAGUUCCUGGCAAUCCACUGUACGCCACUGAAGGUCAUGUCUUUGUCACAGGUAAGCAGUUGACUUCCUGUCAUAUUCAGUCAUCACCUCACUGGACUUCAUUUUGAAUAAGAAAUCUUGC
Manis pentadactyla (Chinese pangolin) is the source of this 1963-nucleotide long non-coding RNA. RefSeq lists it as uncharacterized. Lineage: Eukaryota; Metazoa; Chordata; Mammalia; Pholidota; Manidae. The record is from RefSeq and is a predicted model, not a curated record. The transcript is spliced from 3 exons.